Molecule: ribosomal RNA, 423 nt
Filed under: uncultured bacterium
Lineage: Bacteria
Description: bacterial SSU rRNA
Rfam family: Bacterial small subunit ribosomal RNA
Source: RNAcentral
CAAGACCUGCGCUUUUGGAGCGGCCGAUGCCUGAUUAGCUUGUUGGUAAGGUAAAAGCUUACCAAGGCUUCGAUCAGUAGCUGGUCUGAGAGGACGGCCAGCCACACUGGGACUGAGACACGGCCCAGACUCCUACGGGAGGCAGCAGUGGGGAAUUUUGGACAAUGGGGGCAACCCUGAUCCAGCCAUGCCGCGUGGGUGAAGAAGGCCUUCGGGUUGUAAAGCUCUUUCAGCCGGAACGAAACGGUUACGGUUAAUACCCGUGAUUACUGACGGUACCGGAAGAAGAAGCACCGGCUAACUACGUGCCAGCAGCCGCGGUAAUACGUAGGGUGCGAGCGUUAAUCGGAAUUACUGGGCGUAAAGCGUGCGCAGGUGGUUUUGUAAGUCAGAUGUGAAAGCCCCGGGCUCAACCUGGGAACU